Panicum virgatum (switchgrass) is the source of this 2121-nucleotide long non-coding RNA. RefSeq lists it as uncharacterized. NCBI's taxonomy places the organism in Eukaryota, Viridiplantae, Streptophyta, Magnoliopsida, Poales, Poaceae. The transcript has 3 exons. The record is from RefSeq and is a predicted model, not a curated record.
CCCCCCCCACCCAUCCCACCGCCACCUCCCCCACCUCCCGGCGGUUACCAGCUCCUCCUCCUGACAUGCCGCUCCGCAGCUCCUCCAUCGACCCCGCUGCUCCAAUUGCUUCGCGAGGCCGGGAGCAUUUCGUCGCGUUGCCAUCCCGAGUUCAACGCCGGCGUCGCCAUCCCGAGUUCACCGCCGGCGUCGCCAUCCCGAGUUCACCGCCGGCGUCGCCCAGUUUCUUCAACCUCUGUGAGCGGGCCGCUCUCUCACCCGUCGGCGCGGUGGCCGUCACCUCUGCAGCGGAAGCUCCCCUCCCGCCUAGCGACCUCCUCUCCGAGCUCUCCUUCACUGCCGAGAAAGCCCGUUAUCCCGAGCUAACCUUCACUGGCGGAUAUCCUCGGCGCCGGAAGGGUCCUUCCCCCACUGGAUUCCUCCUCGCCUGGGAAUCCCGUCCUGCCGUCACCUGAUCCUCAUCCGCGUGCGGCGGACGAUCCCCUCCCGCUGGGCGCCCUCCUCCCCGCCGGGGAAUCCUGUCCCGCCGACACCUUCUCCUCCGGUCGGCCACUCUCAAACGUGAGUUUGUCCUCACCUUUCCUUCGUGUGACCAGGCCGCCGCGCAGACCAACCCGCACUUCCUCCGGUCUGUACGACCAAGCUGCGCAGGCCAAGCCACCGCGCGAAUGCUACUUCUUCCUCGCUCCACUCCUCUCUCGCGGUAUGUAUGGCCGAGCCGCCGUCAUUGCCGGACUUGCCAACCUCCCCCCACCGACAAUCCUGCCCCUCUCCAACCUACUUUAUCGACGCUUGUUCAGUAAUACACCCCCACAGUACAUGUGUAGCUGAUUACCCAGUUCUAUGAUAUCAAUGGAAGGCUCCUUACUGUAAAUAAAACAGCUCCUAGAGGCUCUCGUGUGGAAAGACCUCCCAGACAAUUUGGUGGUCCUUUCAGGAUUUAUGUGGGCAAUCUGCCAUGGCAAGUGGAUGACUCUAGAUUGGUGCAGUUGUUCAGCGAGCAUGGCAAAGUGGUUGAUGCCAGAGUUGUCUAUGACCGAGAAUCUGGGCGUUAGCGGGGAUUUGAUUUUGUAACUAUGGCAACGCAGGAUGAAUUGGAUGAUGCUAUUGCUGCCCUUGAUGGACAGGAUGAUGGUACUCAGCGUUUGGAGGUUGUCAGGGCUCGUAAUGCAGAUGGCUCUAUUUUACGCCUAGCAAGUGAGGACUUUGAGAAGCAACCUGGACCAUGUGGAUGUGAAUGCUCAAUCAGGAUUAUCUAACAAAUCUUGAACUGUAUGUGAUGCUGCUAGCAGGAAGGAUAUUAAUUGUAAGAUAUUUUUUCUGCAGAUACUUGGACUGAGGAGAUCCGAAUGGACUCUUCCAACAGGCACUAACUUAACUAUUGUUGUUGGUGGUGAGGUAAUUACUCAUAAUUUUUCCUGGUUCGAUUGAACUAUUUGCACAUUGAUAAGUGCCCAUUUCAUUAUAUUUAUUGUUUUAUCUUUGUGUAAUCUGAAUAAGCUGUUUAAAGUGAUUCCAGAAAAUUUUGAUCAAACGGCCAAGAAAUGGUGGGCCAUUCCUUUGUUUUGUUCUUAUGGUUGAGUAUUCCUGAUACAAUCUGUUACGUGUGUUUAUUGUUUUUCAUCCAAGCAAGUGAUUAUUUGAUACUUCUCCUUGAUCCAUAUAUUUUACUAGAUAUUUGAGAAAUGUCAGAUUCACAUUUAGUUUGAUAUUUUGAUAUUGCAUUGGUUUGGUUAAGCAAUAGAUCGAUUUUUAUGGUUUUUUGUAUUCUCCUUUGAGCCAAAUCCGAUGGCUUGGAUUCCAUGAGACACUUGCAUAGGCUAAGGAAAACCAGGAUGAGAGCAGUGCCACAUCAGCGAUGUACAAGCGGGUGCUCGUGCAGGUGCCCGCUGCUGUACUUCAUUGUGCUCAAGAUGACGGAACCCAUCUAUGAAUACCAGGAGGCUUCAGUCAGUAAUAUUAUUUUUAUCAUUUGUUUACUUCUGUUGCAAAGAAGGAGCAUCUUGUAAACGGUUGAGGAAGUUCAAGCUGAGUUUUAUGAGGCUAUGCCUUGAACUAAUUUGGAAUUGUGUACCGAGAAGGAACUUGAUAUCCUAUUGCCAACUUAUUUUCCUGUGUUCA